AAUGCAUAGAUAUUACACAGAAUACCAAUUGCGAAGGCAGAUCACGAACAAUGAACUGACGCUGAUGGACGAAAGCGUAGGUAGCGAACAGGAUUAGAUACCCUGGUAGUCUACGCAGUAAACGAUGGUUACUAGCUGUUUGGCAUAAUUGAGUGCUGAGUGGUUAAGCGAAAGUGAUAAGUAACCCACCUGGGGAGUACGUUCGCAAGAAUGAAACUCGAAGGAAUUGACGGGGGCCCGCACAAGCGGUGGAGCAUGUGGUUUAAUUCGAUAAUACGCGAGGAACCUUACCAGGGCUUAAAUGCAGUCUGACAGGGGUGGAAACACCUUUUUCUUCGGACAGAUUGCAAGGUGCUGCAUGGUUGUCGUCAGCUCGUGCCGUGAGCUGUCAGGUUAAGUCCUAUGACGAGCGCAACCCCUAUGGUUAGUUCCUACCAGCUUAUGCUGAUGAACUCUAGCCAGACUGCCGGUGUAAACCGCGAGGAUAGGUGGGGAUGACGUCAAAUCAUCACGGCCCUUACGUCCUGGGCUACACACGUGGUACAAUGGUAUGUACAAUGAGCAGCCUCCACGCGAGUGG
Molecule: ribosomal RNA, 580 nt
Filed under: uncultured organism
Description: bacterial SSU rRNA
Rfam family: Bacterial small subunit ribosomal RNA
Source: RNAcentral